AUCUUUAUUAAACAAGAUUGUGAAUCUAUCAUACAACAAAGAUCAUUUAUAUGAAAUAAACCAUAACCAGGGAGCAUAUCAUGCCAAGUAACCAUGGUUGUCAAACAAUCCAAAAUAUCACCCCAAAUCCUAAAGGGAUUAAUUAUUUCUAUUUCUUUUAUAAGUAUUUUAAAUAGCUUUAUUAAGAAACAUAGCAUACUUUAUCAAACAGAGCUGAAAUUAAUCAUGAAGCUAGAUAACAGUUACACAAAAUCACAUAUUAAAUUUCAUGAUUUUUGGAUAUACUCAUAAUUUACUAAAAAUCAUGGAAGGUUUAUUCAUUAAUAAACAGAGGUAAUUUUUACAUACAUGCAAACUACCAGAAAAUAUAAUUAACUAUUUUUCAUGUGUCCUACUCAUUUUAAGGAAGCCAUACAAAAAUUCUCAUAAUUUUUGGAUCAGCAUAAAAUUUACUACACAAAUUCAAAAAUAAAUCAAAAACUGCAUAAAAAGAAAAAGAAAAAGAUUACUGCGCAGUGGGCUGCUUGGAAACUGGGCCGCAGACCGGCCCACUGCUUCCGGCCCGCAUCCGCGCUGCGCACACCCGCGCCAUCUCCCUCACUCGGGACGCUGACAGGCAAACCCCACCUGUCAGCUCCGUCCCGUUCACGCGCGGCGGCUCGGCCGCGACUCCGACGACCGAUAGCGAGGCCCUUGGCCCCUGCGCGCGCGCGCAUCAGCUCCGACUCAACUCCGCGACUCCAUUGGUACCACUCGCGGAUGCUCUACCUCACUGCUACCACCUCGACCACGAUAGGAGCGGGCGGUCGCCAUGGCCGUCUGUCGGCCGGCCACUAGG
This 838-nucleotide long non-coding RNA is filed under the name Sorghum bicolor (sorghum). RNAcentral's name for it is "long non-coding RNA (SBIC_LNC000379)". The record is from RNAcentral. Lineage: Eukaryota; Viridiplantae; Streptophyta; Magnoliopsida; Poales; Poaceae.